Molecule: transfer RNA, 54 nt
Filed under: Aleuroglyphus ovatus (brown legged grain mite)
Lineage: Eukaryota; Metazoa; Arthropoda; Arachnida; Sarcoptiformes; Acaridae
Description: tRNA-Ser
Source: RNAcentral
GUCUUCUAUUUUGGAACUUUGAAAGUUCUUUUUAGGGGUUUUCCCUUAGAGACU